CAACCUACAUAAUAGGAGAAAAUAUUUGCAAAUCAUAUAUAUAAGGGGUUAACAUCCCAAAUAUAUAAAGAACUCCUACAACUCAAUAGCAAACAUACACACACACACACACACAUACACACACACAUAAUUUAAAAAUGGGAAAAGGACAUGAAUAGACAUUUUUCCAAAAAAGACAUACAUAUAACCAACAGGUAUAUGAAAAGGUUCUCAACAACACUAAUCAUUUGGAAACUGCAAAUUAAAACCACAAUGAGAUGCCACCUCACACCUGUUUGGAUGGCUAUUAUCAAAAAGACAAGCAGUAACAAGUAUUGGCAAAGGUGUGGAGAAAAGAGAGCACUUGUACACUGUUGGUGGAAACGUAAAUUGGUACAACUAUUAUGAAAAACAUGGUGUCCUCCUUUCCUUUUUGCUGUAGGCCUGAGGAGUUGCUGCCAAAAUGGGCAAGUUCAUGAAAUCUGGGAAGGUGGUGCUUAUCUUGGCUGGAUGCUACUCUGGAUGCAAAGCCGUCAUCAUGAAGAACAUUGAUGAUGGCACCUCAGAUCGCCCCUACAGCCAUGCUCUGGUGGCUGGUAUUGACAGCUAUCCCCACAAAGUGACAGCUGCCAUGGGCAAGAAUAAGAUCACCAAGAGGUCAAAGAUCAAGUCUUUGGGAAAGUUUAUAACUACAAUCACCUAAGGCCCACAAGGUACUCUGCGGAUAUCCCCUUGGACAAAACUGUCGUCAGUAAGGAUGUCUUCAGAGAGCCUGCUCUUAAACGCAAGGCCCAACGAGAGGCCAAGGUCAAAUCUGAGGACAGAUACAAGACAGGCAAGAAUGAGUGGUUCUUCUAGAAGCUGCAGUUUUAGAUGCUUUGUUUUGGUCAUUAAAAAUUAAAAAGAAAAA
Callithrix jacchus (white-tufted-ear marmoset) is the source of this 889-nucleotide non-coding RNA. NCBI's taxonomy places the organism in Eukaryota, Metazoa, Chordata, Mammalia, Primates, Cebidae. The record is from RefSeq and is a predicted model, not a curated record.